Molecule: ribosomal RNA, 1532 nt
Filed under: Campylobacter coli
Lineage: Bacteria; Pseudomonadati; Campylobacterota; Epsilonproteobacteria; Campylobacterales; Campylobacteraceae
Description: partial 23S ribosomal RNA
Rfam family: Bacterial large subunit ribosomal RNA
Source: RNAcentral
UCCGAAAGGGGUAGACGAUGGCAAAUUGGUUAAUAUUCCAAUACCAACAUUAGUGUGCGAUGGAAGGACGCUUAGGGCUAAGGGGGCUAGCGGAUGGAAGUGCUAGUCUAAGGUCGUAGGAGGUUAUACAGGCAAAUCCGUAUAACAAUACUCCGAGAACUGAAAGGCUUUUUGAAGUCUUCGGAUGGAUAGAAGAACCCCUGAUGCCGUCGAGCCAAGAAAAGUUUCUAAGUUUAGUUAAUGUUGCCCGUACCGUAAACCGACACAGGUGGGUGGGAUGAGUAUUCUAAGGCGCGUGGAAGAACUCUCUUUAAGGAACUCUGCAAAAUAGCACCGUAUCUUCGGUAUAAGGUGUGGUUAGCUUUGUAUUAGGAUUUACUCCGAAAGCAAGGAAACUUACAACAAAGAGUCCCUCCCGACUGUUUACCAAAAACACAGCACUCUGCUAACUCGUAAGAGGAUGUAUAGGGUGUGACGCCUGCCCGGUGCUCGAAGGUUAAUUGAUGGGGUUAGCAUUAGCGAAGCUCUUGAUCGAAGCCCGAGUAAACGGCGGCCGUAACUAUAACGGUCCUAAGGUAGCGAAAUUCCUUGUCGGUUAAAUACCGACCUGCAUGAAUGGCGUAACGAGAUGGGAGCUGUCUCAAAGAGGGAUCCAGUGAAAUUGUAGUGGAGGUGAAAAUUCCUCCUACCCGCGGCAAGACGGAAAGACCCCGUGGACCUUUACUACAGCUUGACACUGCUACUUGGAUAAGAAUGUGCAGGAUAGGUGGGAGGCUUUGAGUAUAUGACGCCAGUUGUAUAUGAGCCAUUGUUGAGAUACCACUCUUUCUUAUUUGGGUAGCUAACCAGCUUGAGUUAUCCUCAAGUGGGACAAUGUCUGGUGGGUAGUUUGACUGGGGCGGUCGCCUCCCAAAUAAUAACGGAGGCUUACAAAGGUUGGCUCAGAACGGUUGGAAAUCGUUCGUAGAGUAUAAAGGUAUAAGCCAGCUUAACUGCAAGACAUACAAGUCAAGCAGAGACGAAAGUCGGUCUUAGUGAUCCGGUGGUUCUGUGUGGAAGGGCCAUCGCUCAAAGGAUAAAAGGUACCCCGGGGAUAACAGGCUGAUCUCCCCCAAGAGCUCACAUCGACGGGGAGGUUUGGCACCUCGAUGUCGGCUCAUCGCAUCCUGGGGCUGGAGCAGGUCCCAAGGGUAUGGCUGUUCGCCAUUUAAAGCGGUACGCGAGCUGGGUUCAGAACGUCGUGAGACAGUUCGGUCCCUAUCUGCCGUGGGCGUAAGAAGAUUGAAGAGAUUUGACCCUAGUACGAGAGGACCGGGUUGAACAAACCACUGGUGUAGCUGUUGUUCUGCCAAGAGCAUCGCAGCGUAGCUAAGUUUGGAAAGGAUAAACGCUGAAAGCAUCUAAGCGUGAAGCCAACUCUAAGAUGAAUCUUCUCUAAGCUCUCUAGAAGACUACUAGUUUGAUAGGCUGGGUGUGUAAUGGAUGAAAGUCCUUUAGCUGACCAGUACUAAUAGAGCGUUUGGCUUAUCUUU